This 258-nucleotide long non-coding RNA is filed under the name Oryza brachyantha (malo sina). Its description in RNAcentral is "long non-coding RNA (OBRA_LNC000243)". The record is from RNAcentral. Lineage: Eukaryota; Viridiplantae; Streptophyta; Magnoliopsida; Poales; Poaceae.
GAGGAUCUCGUUCGCACUUCAGGAGCGGAAUUUGUUGGAGUUCAUCAACCCGAGCACGUCCGCCCGGCCGCCGCUGACAGCCCGGGGCGGAGGCGACGGCGGCGGAGCGAGGAGCCGAGGAGUAGGAUCGGGUGAGCAAGGUGGGAAUGGCGACGGGGAGGAGGCUGCUGCAGUUCCGUUCGCUCCUCGCCCAGGAGGCGCUCCGCACAGCCGCGCGACCCAAACCCCAACCAAACCCCCACCGACUCCUCCACGCCC